UUUGCCAGAUUCAUUAACUAAUCUCCGAUUAAAACUGAGCAAAAUUAAUUCUUUCCCGGUAUCGAUUUCAUACUCCCUCCAAAAUAAGUCUAGAUAACGAUUCUCCUAAAUCAAGCAACUAAUUUCCGAGGAAAACUGAGGUUUUAGUUUGGCGGGAGGCUUCGCGCUAAUUUUUUUUGGGUUUCGAAUUUCAUCCAAAAUUCAGGCUAUAUAAACCCAGAGGCAUCGAUGGAACAUUCCAUCUCAUCUUCUCAGAAACUUAUUUCUUCAAAAUCCUAAGUUUGUCCUAUUUCAAAUGGCGCCCCAAAUCACUGCUUCCACGGAAUCAACUACCAAAAAAUGAAAUACAAGGGGAAUAAGUCGGAGAGUCGGGCUUGAGAGACUACAAGCGAUGACGAAGGACCGAAAAUUGGCCGUGAAGUUUAAAGAGUCUGCAGGUGUGGCGGUGUGCUUCAACAGAAGAAAACUGGCCACAGAAUAUGGGGUCAUUGUCAGGUCUUUUUCUCCCUUGGAAUACAAAUCAUGGAAAAAUAUUCCAUUGCAUGACAGAGAAGCCUUAAUGGAAAGGGUUAAGGACAAGUUCUGGGUGGACCUCAGCGUCCCCUUUUUCUGGGAUUUCCUACACCGAUCAAUGGGCAAAAAGUACAACAGUCAUAGGAGUUUGAUGUCCUCCUAUUUUAAGAGAUUGUUCGAUUCCUCUCAUUCCAUUGAGAAAUUAAAGAUAAGCCAUACAAAGAUGUGCCCCAGGAUAAGUGGGAGUGGCUUUGCAACCACUUCUCUUCACCUGAAUUUAAGAAACGGUCGUUAGCUGGAUCCGCAAACAGGGAAAAGGUUCAGUACAACCAUUGCAGUGGUUCCAUGGCAUUUGUUGUGCGUCAUGAGCAGAGGAUGGAAUCGGGAAAUUAUUCCCCUAUCCAAGUGUUCCAUGACACACACACUCGCGUGAUUGAUAAAACGACUAACAAUCGAAUCUGGCUAAGCGACGAGGCACGCAGCCGAUAUGAUCAAAUGCUCGCUCUCAAAGAACAAAGCAUGGAAGAAGGAUCAGAACCUAGAGAUGAAGACGACAUCUGUGCUAAGGUCCUUAAAAAGAAAAAAACAAGAAGGCAUGUAUUUGUUCUGCAGUCAAAUCAAGAAACUGAAGAACUGCGUGAGAAAGUACGAAAACAAGAAGAAGAAAUUCGGAAAAUGAAAGAAAACCAGGCAUUAUUCCAACAGGAUGUGCUUAAUCGUUUAGGACUUAAUGUCAUAGUUACGGACACUCAUGAUCAGUAGUCUAAGUUAAAUUUGGUUUUACUGUUUUAGUUCGUCACUUGCGAGACUCAUGCUCAACAGUUUAAGUUAGUUUCUUUCUUUUAUUUUGUUGGUUUGGUAUAUGUGUUCAAUUAGUUUGGUUUUGUUUAUUCUUUGUAUUACUUUUCAUUCUAUGAGCAA
Molecule: long non-coding RNA, 1434 nt
Organism: Papaver somniferum (opium poppy)
Lineage: Eukaryota; Viridiplantae; Streptophyta; Magnoliopsida; Ranunculales; Papaveraceae
Exons: 7
Source: RefSeq, a predicted model, not a curated record